This 1180-nucleotide ribosomal RNA is filed under the name Cheilolejeunea oncophylla. Its description in RNAcentral is "eukaryotic LSU rRNA". The stretch from base 559 to 709 matches the Rfam family "5.8S ribosomal RNA". The record is from RNAcentral. Lineage: Eukaryota; Viridiplantae; Streptophyta; Jungermanniopsida; Porellales; Lejeuneaceae.
CCGCCGGUGUUGUUGUGAGAAGUUCAUUAAACCUUAUCAUUUAGAGGAAGGAGAAGUCGUAACAAGGUUUCCGUAGGUGAACCUGCGGAAGGAUCAUUGAACACACGAUCUCGGAAAAACCCUGCGAAUCGUUCUGGUUACCACGAGGGAUCGUGCUGGGAGGCACGAUCGUCGGUCCUGGAGUCGAGGAUUCGUAUCCGUCUCGGGCGGAUCCUCCUGUUGGUGCGUGCUGGGAAGAGUACGUCUCCGGUGUACCGUCGGAACACUCCUCGGCACGCGUGGUCUCGUUCUCGGUGCUGGCGUGAUCGGGAGGGUCUCGCGAUCCUCUCGAAUCCUGCCUUGCUGCGUUCGAAGGUCGGGAGUGCGUUCCCCUCCUCCGAGGGGGGAGGGAGAGUUCUCUCUGGAGGCUCUCUUCUCUCUCCCCUCGGUGCCCCCUUUUUUUUCCCACUAGGAACCUGGUGAAACGAGUUUUGAUGGACUGAGAUGGGCGGAGGGGGAUUCGUAUCCGUCUCGGGCGCGGAUCCUCCGAGUCCCAACGAAAGCGAAAACACGCAAAAUGACUCUCAGCAACGGAUAUCUUGGCUCUUGCAACGUGAAGAACGCAGCGAUGCGAUACCUAGUGUGAAUUGCAGAAUUCCGCGAAUCAUUGAGUUUUUGAACGCAAGUUGCGCCCGAGGCUCGUUCCGAGGGCAUGCCUGCCUGAGCGUCCGCUCCGACCCACCCACAAGUCUCUUUUCCUCCUCCUCUUUGCCGGGGAGGAGGAACGGGAGUUCGUAGUGCGAGUGGAACUGGUCGUCCGGGAACCCGAUCGUCUCCCAUGCGGUGACGGUCGAAGGAUUCGCGGUUGGCUGAAAAAUGGGAGCCGUCCGUCAAAGCGCGCGCAGUGGGCAAGGGUGCGUCGCGAGAAGGUGCCGUCCUCUCCUCGUCUUCGGCGGGAGUUGGACGUUUGUAACAAAAGCGUCGCACUUCCCCUUGCGGAGUUUCGACUUGGCGGACUGGCGAGAUUCAAAUCAUGGGAACGUGAAGGUCCGGAUCCGUCUUCGCAGCCGUCCUCCCACCCGGGGGGCUCGUGCUCGGAGAGGGACCGGUCUGAGCGUCAUGUUGUUCGGACCUCAGAUCAGACAAGACCACCCGCUGAGUUUAAGCAUAUCACUAAGCGGAGGAGAAGAAACUAACAAGG